RNAcentral lists this ribosomal RNA (498 nucleotides) under uncultured bacterium. Its description in RNAcentral is "partial 16S ribosomal RNA". It matches the Rfam family "Bacterial small subunit ribosomal RNA", at positions 28 to 507 of the family's 1533-position model. The record is from RNAcentral.
GAUGAACGCUGGCGGCGUGCCUAAUACAUGCAAGUCGAGCGAACAGAUGAGGAGCUUGCUCCUCUGACGUUAGCGGCGGACGGGUGAGUAACACGUGGAUAACCUACCUAUAAGACUGGGAUAACUUCGGGAAACCGGAGCUAAUACCGGAUAAUAUAUUGAACCGCAUGGUUCAAUAGUGAAAGACGGUUUUGCUGUCACUUAUAGAUGGAUCCGCGCCGCAUUAGCUAGUUGGUAAGGUAACGGCUUACCAAGGCAACGAUGCGUAGCCGACCUGAGAGGGUGAUCGGCCACACUGGAACUGAGACACGGUCCAGACCCCUACGGGAGGCAGCAGUAGGGAAAUCUUCCGCAAUGGGCGAAAGCCUGACGGAGCAACGCCGCGUGAGUGAUGAAGGUCUUCGGAUCGUAAAACUCUGUUAUUAGGGAAGAACAAAUGUGUAAGUAACUAUGCACGUCUUGACGGUACCUAAUCAGAAAGCCACGGCUAACUACGUG